UAAGAAAAAGCCAAACCCAUUGCGAGGUGGGGACGGAAAGCCACGGGUCUCUUCUAAGGACGGGAAGAUAGCCGGGUUACCUGGA
This 85-nucleotide non-coding RNA is filed under the name Syntrophobacterales bacterium. RNAcentral describes it as "c-di-GMP sequence". It matches the Rfam family "c-di-GMP-I-GGC riboswitch aptamer". Lineage: Bacteria; Pseudomonadati; Thermodesulfobacteriota; Syntrophobacteria; Syntrophobacterales. The record is from RNAcentral.